AACGAACGCUGGCGGCAUGCCUAACACAUGCAAGUCGAACGAGACCUUCGGGUCUAGUGGCGCACGGGUGCGUAACGCGUGGGAACCUGCCCUUAGGUUCGGAAUAACUCCCCGAAAGGGGUGCUAAUACCGGAUAAUGUCUUCGGACCAAAGAUUUAUCGGCUUUGGAUGGGCCCGCGUUGGAUUAGCUAGUUGGUAGGGUAAAAGCCUACCAAGGCGACGAUCCAUAGCUGGUCUGAGAGGAUGAUCAGCCACACUGGGACUGAGACACGGCCCAGACUCCUACGGGGAGGAGCAGUGGGGAAUAUUGGACAAUGGGCGAAAGCCUGAUCCAGCAAUGCCGCGUGAGUGAUGAAGGCCUUAGGGUUGUAAAGCUCUUUUACCCGGGAUGAUAAUGACAGUAACGGGAGAAUAAGCUCCGGCUAACUCCGUG
This 433-nucleotide ribosomal RNA is filed under the name uncultured bacterium. RNAcentral's name for it is "partial 16S ribosomal RNA". It matches the Rfam family "Bacterial small subunit ribosomal RNA", at positions 29 to 507 of the family's 1533-position model. The record is from RNAcentral.